GCCUGAGCUGGUUCCAGGGGUCCCCAGCCCCGAACGCCACCCCCAUCUCCAACACCGGGAUCCUGGAGCAGCCCCGGGGCUGUCUGCAGGAGGAGGAGAAUUCACCUGCGCGCCCAGCACGCCCUGGGCUCCCGGCGCGUCUCGCUGAGCCUCUCUGUGCACUACCCCCCGCAGCUGCUGGGCCCCUCCUGCUCCUGGGAGGCCGAGGGGCUGCGCUGCAGCUGCUGCUCCCGCGCCCAGCCCGCCCCCUCCCUGCGCUGGCGGCUGGGGGAGGGGCUGCGGGAGGGGACCGGCAGCCAGGGCUCCUUCUCGGACACCCCCAGCGCAGCCGGGCCCUGGGCCAACAGCUCCCUGAGCCUCCCAGGGCACCUCAGCUCCGGCCUCAGGCUCAGCUGCGAGGCCUGGAACGUGCACGGGACGCGGAGCGGCGCCGUCCUGCUGCUGCCAGGGAAGCCAGAGCCCAGGGGAGGAUUCGCACUGGGGGCCGUGGUGGGGGCCGGUGUUGCUGCCCUGCUGUCUCUCUGCUGCUGCCUGGCCUUGCUCAGGGUGAAGACCUGCAGGAAGGACGCACCCUCCGCCCUGGGUCCCCUCUCCCAGGGCGACAGAAAGGAGCCUCCUGGGGCCACCGCCACCUCGGAGGAGGAGCAGGAGCUCCAUUACGCCUCGCUCAGCUUCUGUGGGCUGAGGCCCCGGAGGUCUCAGGAGCAGGAGGCCAUCGGCUUCACCGAGUACUCAGAGAUCAAGACCUACGAGUGACAACCUGCGACCUCCAGUAGAGCCAGGGCGUCCCUGGGGAGGGAGAUGUCAGGGACAGUUCCCGAGUGACAGUUCUCCGUGUAAACAGGAGACCUGGUAGCCCGGGGAGUCUCACAGUGUCGUGAGGGCAGCACUGGGCUCGUAGGUCAGCCCCAGCCCCCAUCAGGAGCCUGAGUGUGAGCAAGUUGCUGUAGUCCUCAGUUUCCCGCUCUGUCAUGGGACACAACAGGCCUCAUUCGCAGGGCUCUGGUGGGGCAGGAAGGGGAUAAUCAACAGAAAGCUUCCGACACAGGCGUCUGUAGACAGCCCUCACCCGGCCACACCUCCUCCUGGAACGGCCCACUAGGUGUAAAAGUCUGACCAGCCAGGCCCACGUGGGGACGCUCUGCAGGGCAGUUGUGGCUUCACUCUGUCUCUGCCCACCUGCUUCCCUGCCCCGUCCCCGCUGGUCCCUGGGGCAUCAGACACCCUGCUGCUAGUAUGUCUCCCCGGGAACCCAACCUGUGUAUUCUACCACACACACACAAACCAUUCAUUGCUUAUCUGAUAUAAAUUAUAAGUAUCUAAAUGACACAGGUCUUUCUUUAAUUAUAUUUCCUUGAUGAUUUGCUUCUCCUUAAUAAUUUAAGGAGAUAAUUAUAAUAAUAAUUAUAAUCUUUUUGCAGGAUUCGCUCAUAAAAUUCCUUGCAGUGGCGGUUUGUGCUCUGUUCACAUUUGAAUGUGUUUUUUGCGGUGGUCCCAUCCAAUGUCUUUUGUCCAUUUUUCCAUGGAACGUUCAUUAGUGAGAAAAUGCAUGCACGUGAGCGCUCACGGCCGGUAGACCGCACAGGGACCGGCAGAGUGGAGGAUGCUGGUCGUGUUGGUCACGUGCUCUGCACGUCUCACUCGCUGAGACACGGAAGUGCACCUUUCAUAACAGAACUUGCUUUUCCAGCCCUCAGGAUUAGGUUGCAUCUCUUGAUCAACGAUUUUUUUUUUGUAUUUCAGCAUAUUAUGGGGAUACAAAUGUUUAGGUUAUGUAUGUUGCCUUUUCCCCCUUCCCCCCCGGAGUCAGAGCUUCAAGCGUGUCCAUCCCCCGGACGGUGUGCAUUGCACUCAUCAUGUGUGUAUAUACCCAUCCCCUCCUCCCCCUCCCAUCUGCCCGACAAAUGUUAUUCCUGUAGGUCCACUUAGGUGUUGAUCAGUUAGUACCAAUUUGCUGGUGAGUACAUGUGGCGCUUAUUUUUCCAUUCUUGGGAUACUUCACUUAGUAGAAUGGGUUCCAGCUCUAUCCAGGAAAACACAAGAGGUGCUAGAUCACCAUUGUUUCUUAGAGCUGAAUAGUACUCCAUGGUAUGCAUAUACCACAUUUUAUUAAUCCACUCAUAUAUUGAUGGGCACUUCGGUUGUUUCCACAUCUUUGCAAUUGUGAAUCGUGCUGCUAUAAACAUUCGAGUGCAGGUGUCUUUUUUUUUGAAGACAGAGUCUCACUCUGUUACCCCGGCUAGAGUGUCAUGGCGUCAGCCUAGCUCACGGCAACCUCACACUCCUGGGCUCAAGCGAUCCUCCUGCCUCAGCCUCUAGAGUAGCUGGGACUACAGGCAUGCGCCACCAUACCCGGCUAAUUUUUUCUAUAUAUUUUUACUUGACCAAAUUAAUUUCUAAUUUUUUAGUAGAGACGGGGUCUCGCUCUUGCUCAGGCUGGUUUCAAACUCCUGACCUUGAGCAAUCUGCCCGCCUCGGCCUCCCAGAGUGCUAGGAUUACAGGCGUGAGCCAUCACGCCCGGCCUGAUCAACGAUGUUUUAAAAACAGUGCCCAGCAAUGAAAAAAAAGAGCACUGUUGUCAAUUGUUGUUCCUUUUCAAAACUGCACUGCUCCUGCUGCUACAGUGUCUAGUAACGUAUGCAUAAAAGAAUCCAACUUGGCAAGGGAUAAAAUAUUUUCAAAACAUAGUCAUGGCAAAUGCUGCAAUAAUUAUGCACUUUGAGAAAUCGAGAAUUUCUUUUCCUGUUCUAAGGUCCCUUGCCUUGACACUCAGAGAUACAUUUUUCAUCAAUUCUUUAACACAUUUAACAAGUUCUUGAAAGCAAAGGCGCACUUAACACUGUUUUCUGUUCUUGAAAUUUGCACAAUCCUGUUAAAUAUUGGAAACUAUAAAAAAAAUGGAAUGGGUUUCUAUUGAUUAUUUUAAAAAAUACCUCACUGGUAGAUAAAACUAUGGAUUAUUUUAAAAGCCAAGAAUUUUGAGGGCCUUUUCUUCAUAAUUAAAGUAUGAUUUCUGUGAUUCACAUAAAUAAACUAAGGAUUCUCAGUAUCAUUUGUUAAAGAGAGUUAGUGGGGUCUGGAAUAUGAGAGGAUUAAGAAUAUUGAAGGGCAAUAAAGCCCCCAAACCCUUUAAUUGCUCAGUUCAAACAGGUAUGUGCCACAAUGCCCGACUCAUUUUUCUAUUUUUAACAGAGACAGGUUUUUGCUCUUGCUCAGGCUGGUCUCGAAUUCCUGACAUCAAGUGAUCCUCCUGCCUUGGCCUCCCAGAGUGCUAGGAUUACCGGUGUGAGCCAUGGCACCUAGCUGGCUUCUGCUUUUGUUCUCUUGGAGCUAUGAGCCUUCACAUAAGUCUAACUACCCUGCUGGAGAGAGAAAGUCCAGCCAACCUCCCCUUCAAGGCACUCCAGGGGGAGUGCCAGUCGGGGAAGAGGCCAUCUGGACUCUCCAUCCCAAUCUCCUCGCUGAAUUGCAGCCAAAUGAGUCCUAACACCUCAUAGAGCAGAUCUACCCAGUCGAACCCAGGCCACCCACAGGAUCGUGAGAAAUAAUAAAUUGUUGCUUCAAGCCACCACGUUUUAGGAUUUGUUGUGCAGCAAAUUCAAACCACCCUAGGGUAGCAAUCGCGACUGUUGCCCCGUCUCUGUGCCCAGGCUCUCCCCAGAGAAGCCCCCAUCCCUGUGCCCCUCCCUCUCUAGCACAGCCCCGUGUCUGUUCCUCAGAAAGCUGUCCGAUUUAAAUGCCAUCUCCUUUUCCUGGCUGUACACAUCAGCAGCACAGGGACCCGGGAUGUCUUGUCCACCGGGAGCCUCCACGCAGCGCUGUGGCUGCCACGGAGCAUGUGCACAAGAUGCACCUGGCGAGUGCUUGCAGGAUGAAAGGUAAGUGUACAGAAGAGAGUAAGGGGAAGGAGAAGGAAGAAUGAGCAAUGGAUGGAUGGAUGGAUGAAAGAAUGGAU
Microcebus murinus (gray mouse lemur) is the source of this 3956-nucleotide long non-coding RNA. NCBI's taxonomy places the organism in Eukaryota, Metazoa, Chordata, Mammalia, Primates, Cheirogaleidae. The record is from Ensembl.